This 468-nucleotide ribosomal RNA is filed under the name uncultured bacterium. Its description in RNAcentral is "partial 16S ribosomal RNA". It matches the Rfam family "Bacterial small subunit ribosomal RNA", at positions 28 to 507 of the family's 1533-position model. The record is from RNAcentral.
GACGAACGCUGGCGGCGUGCUUAACACAUGCAAGUCGAACGGAAAGGCCCUGCUUUUGUGGGGUGCUCGAGUGGCGAACGGGUGAGUAACACGUGAGUAACCUGCCCUUGACUUUGGGAUAACUUCAGGAAACUGGGGCUAAUACCGGAUAGGAGCUCCUGCUGCAUGGUGGGGGUUGGAAAGUUUCGGCGGUUGGGGAUGGACUCGCGGCUUAUCAGCUUGUUGGUGGGGUAGUGGCUUACCAAGGCAUUGACGGGUAGCCGGCCUGAGAGGGUGACCGGCCACAUUGGGACUGAGAUACGGACCAGACUCCUACGGGAGGCAGCAGGGGGGAAUAUUGCACAAUGGGCGGAAGCCUGAUGCAGCAACGCCGCGUGCGGGAUGACGGCCUUCGGGUUGUAAACCGCUUUCGCCUGUGACGAAGCGUGAGUGACGGUAAUGGGUAAAGAAGCACCGGCUAACUACGUG